ACAAGCAGUGAGUGGAGAUGCAGCACUGUGACGCUUUCGACUACUGGGGUCGUGGGACUGAAGUCACAGUAUCUACAGGAACACCCACACCACCAACACCACCCACUCUGUUCCCUUUGGUUCAGUGCCAACCUGGGUCUGGAGAUAAAAUCACUGUUGGUUGUUUUGCACGCGACUUCUACCCAAAGAGUCUUACAUUCCAGUGGACCGAUGCCAGUGGGAGAACCCUGACUUCUGAAAAUUAUCCUCCAGCUGAGAAAAACAACAAAUAUACAGGAGUCAGUUUGGUCAAAGUAUCAAAAUCUGACUGGGAUUCAAGGAAGUCUUUUAAAUGUUCUGUAAAUCACAACGGAUCUCCCACAAAUCUGCAAGUGCAAAAGCCUCCUCCAAAAGUGACUUUGCUAUCAGUGCCAAGUGAAGACACCCAGGCCCUGGUGUGCACGAUUGAAUGUGGUGAUGGAAAACUUGACUCAUUCAAGUGGAAAAAGAAUGACGCAGAGUUGAACGACUACAUUCAAAGUCCCAUCCAAAGAACUGGAAACUUACAUUCAGCUGUCAGUGUCCUGAAGGUCAACAAUGCAGACUGGGACAGUAACGCUGUGUAUACCUGUGAGGUGACUUACAGAGGAACACAAUAUAAAAAGAAGGCCUCAAAAGCUCCUGUCACAGUGACUCUGAACCAACCCAGUGCCAAAAAAAUUUUUAACAACAAACAGGCAAAGUUGGAGUGUAUCAUUACUGGACAGGACGAGACCAUUGUUAGUGAAAUUCAAAUCACUUGGCAAAUUAAUGAACAAGAUGUGACCAACAACAUUGCUGAAUCAACAUCGUCCAGCGGCGUUCAGCACAGCAAAACCAGCAUGAUAACUCGUAGUCUGUCUGAGUGGCAGAGUGUCAACAAAGUGCGCUGUUCUGCUAUUAGAGACGAUAUGACUCCAGUUAUUCAAGAUCUGACUGUCCACAAAGGAGAAGGAAAGAAGCCAAACGUGACAGUCCAUGUCCUCCCAGAGGAGGACAUAAACAAAGGAGCUGUGGUCUCUCUGGUGUGUCUGGUCUCUGGUCCUGUGCUGCAGGAUUACUACGUCGCCUGGUCAGAAGGUACUGAAAAUAAGGCCGGCAUCUAUAUGGAUGGCAUUAACUUCCCCCCACAGAAGAUCCAACAUGGCUACUUAGUUACAAGUGUUUACACCACCACCAAGGAAAAGUGGGACAAGCACAACAUGUUCUACUGCAACGUCUGGCCUGCUGGCACCAAUGAGUCCAUGAAAACAUCACAUGGAGUGUCUAAGGCCCAGGGUAACUCAAUUGAAUGUGAUUAAUAGUAGAUUCAGCUUUGGUGGUAUUUUGUGCUAACAUGUUGCUCUGUCUCUGUGUGUACUCCGCCAUGAAUCUGUGCACUCUGUGAUGUCAUCAGUCUUUGUGAUUGUAAAAAUAAGUGUCAACAUGUUAAUUUAGUUUUGUUUGUCAUCAUAUUGUGUUUCUGUCUUUGUCACAUUGUCUAACAGCUUGAGAAGUGUGCUGACUGUUUCAAAUAAAUGUUGCAUGGAGA
This is a non-coding RNA of Micropterus salmoides (largemouth bass), 1549 nucleotides long. Lineage: Eukaryota; Metazoa; Chordata; Actinopteri; Centrarchiformes; Centrarchidae. The record is from the annotation of a RefSeq genome assembly.